GGCCCCUGCCCCUCUCUCUCCCUCACUCUCGCUCGAUGGCUGGUGGGUCCCCACUCCCCUCCACCUCUAGCAGCGGCAGCCCAGUGUUGGAACCUUAGCCAUCGUCUAAGCUUUCCUACUCGGCUGCUUCAAGCCUCCCACCCUAUCAAGACUUUUGAGGAUGGAAAAACCAAAGGAACAAUGGGGAAAAACAUAAGAAAAAUCAACAAAAAAACAAAAGAAAUAAGGAAAAAAUUAAUAUGUUAGACUUUUUUUCACAUAGAUUGAUCAUUUUUUUCCUUUUCAUUUUUUUUCUUUUUAUUUUAUUUUCCUUUUUUGAGAUCUGUGAGGAAGGAGAGCACUUGAGGG
This 348-nucleotide long non-coding RNA is filed under the name Elaeis guineensis (African oil palm). Its description in RNAcentral is "long non-coding RNA (EGUI_LNC045168)". The record is from RNAcentral. Lineage: Eukaryota; Viridiplantae; Streptophyta; Magnoliopsida; Arecales; Arecaceae.